This 1694-nucleotide small RNA is filed under the name Pongo abelii (Sumatran orangutan). RNAcentral describes it as "retained intron". Lineage: Eukaryota; Metazoa; Chordata; Mammalia; Primates; Hominidae. The record is from RNAcentral.
GAUCAGGGUCUUCCUGGCAUGUCUAAAUAGGAACAGCUGAGCUCAACUUCUAGCAGGGCCCCUCUCCCUCUGUGCUCCCCUCUUCCCUGACCCUGGGGCUUGCUGGCAGGACCUGAGAGCUGUAAAAUCACCCACAGUUGAGCCCUCGCAUGUCCCGCUGUCAGCUACUCUGUCCCUGGGACCGCCCUUCCCGAUGCUGUCUCUCUGGGUCUGGCUUGCAUCCAGCCUCCCAGACAGGACUGAGCCUAUCUCCUUUCUCAGGCCAUGAGAAGUCUGAGAACGCGGUGAAAGCCGGAACUUGCUGUGCCACGUGCAAGGAGUUCUACCAGAUGAAGCAGACCGUGCUGCAGCUGAAGCAAAAGAUUGCUCUGCUCCCCAACAAUGCAGCUGACUUGGGCAAGUAUAUCACUGGUGACAAGGUGCUGGCCUCAAACGCCUACCUACCAGGACCUCCUGGCCUGCCUGGGGGCCAGGGCCCUCCCGGCUCACCAGGACCAAAGGGAAGCCCAGGCUUCCCCGGUAUGCCAGGCCCUCCUGGGCAGCCCGGCCCACGGGGCUCAAUGGGACCCAUGGGACCAUCUCCUGAUCUGUCCCACAUUAAGCAAGGCCGGAGGGGCCCUGUGGGUCCACCAGGUGCACCAGGAAGAGAUGGUUCUAAGGGGGAGAGAGGAGCGCCUGGGCCCAGAGGGUCUCCAGGACCCCCUGGUUCUUUUGACUUCCUGCUACUUAUGCUGGCUGACAUCCGCAAUGACAUCACUGAGCUGCAGGAAAAGGUGUUCGGGCACCGGACUCACUCUUCAGCAGAGGAGUUCCCUUUACCUCAGGAAUUUCCCAGCUACCCAGAAGCCAUGGACCUGGGCUCUGGAGAUGACCAUCCAAGAAGAACUGAGACAAGAGACUUGAGAGCCCCCAGAGACUUCUACCCAUAGCACAUCCCAACACCGUGACACCAAAGGAAGACAAAGAUGAACUCACCUGCAGUUAAACCAUCUAAAGAGAAAAAACACCACUGGAGACCUAGAAAACAUACAUUUUUCUCUUCUCUUCUCCUGACGUCUCUCCACUCCUCUUCUUCCAAAUACAAUACUAUUUUCAGGGUCCCCUCCUAGGCCUGCGGACAUGAGGGAGUGAAUGAUUGAUUUACCUGCUUCUCACUAAGAGUCCGUUGGGGUGGUUUGCGUUGUAACUUUUCUUUUACAUCCUAUUUUUCCAGGAACUUUGGAUUUAAGUACUCUCACAGUGUCUUAAAUCAUAAAUUCUUGAAGUUAAAUUUGGCAGAGUAUCAAAAGGGGGAAAAUGGCAAAGUGAGCUCUAAGAAAAUGUGAGUCUGCUUCUAAGAUGUGUGUUCAGAAUAGACCAUAACUCCUCUAGUAUCAAAAUUAGGGCUCUUCAGUUAAAAAGGGGUGGGGAGGACAAACGUGUAGAUGUACUUUGGUGGAGAAUUCUUUUUCCUUAUGCUUCUAGUAGACUUUAAAUAUUGUAUCCCCUUGUCAAACCUUGUUUCCCAAAUUCAAUUAAAGAGAGGAGAGAAUUGAAUGGCGUUUAGAGAAGAUAGAAAAGAAUUACAGUCAUAUAUUUACUGUUAUAUAGAUUGCCACAUUCUAAAAUUCAAAUAUGGUGCUUAAGGUUUCAUGCCAUGCUUAACUGUAAGUAUCCUAUUUAGGGAAAAAGAUUAAACUCUCUUUUCAAAAAAA